UACGUAGGGGGCAAGCGUUGUCCGGAAUCAUUGGGCGUAAAGAGCAUGUAGGCGGCUCGAUAAGUCUGCUGUGAAAGUCCAGGGCUCAACCCUGGAAGGCCGGUGGAAACUGUCGGGCUAGAGUCCGGAAGAGGCGAGUGGAAUUCCCGGUGUAGCGGUGAAAUGCGCAGAUAUCGGGAGGAACACCAAUGGCGAAGGCAGCUCGCUGGGACGGUACUGACGCUGAGACGCGAAAGCGUGGGGAGCAAACAGG
This 253-nucleotide ribosomal RNA is filed under the name uncultured bacterium. RNAcentral's name for it is "partial 16S ribosomal RNA". It matches the Rfam family "Bacterial small subunit ribosomal RNA", at positions 524 to 776 of the family's 1533-position model. The record is from RNAcentral.